Chrysemys picta bellii (western painted turtle) is the source of this 622-nucleotide non-coding RNA. NCBI's taxonomy places the organism in Eukaryota, Metazoa, Chordata, Testudines, Emydidae. The record is from RefSeq and is a predicted model, not a curated record.
GCUCCAAAGAGCUGACACCCUACGUUAACACGGUGUAACAUACACCAGGAGAGAGCCCCGAACGGGGCCUUGGCUUUGCCUGUGUCUCUCCUCGGGAGGGAAGGUUUCCAAGAUUAAAAUGAAAGAAGUCAUAGAGAACAGGCUCGCACUCGGAGCAUAUUCCUUCUCUGGGCCUGGCUGGUCUCCAGCACAGUUCAGUUCAGUCGCUGACCUGCAGACAUGUGAUUUCUAGAUCUCCGGGCACAGAGCAAGCUGCAAGCGGUUGAAGAAGCGGUGCAGAAACUCCAAGUCUCUCUGCAGCCUGACAACGCCUCGGACGCCUCAGCAAAGGGAUCGGACAGUCUGCAGCUAUUGGAUGAAGCGCAGGCAGGAGUCCGGAUGCUGAAGGACCAGCUGGGUAAUGUCAGUGCAGCGUAUGGAGAAAUCCAGAUCCGUUCGGACGGUGCAGCGCGAACAGCAGUGCAAGAUGGCUGCAGUGACGUGCUGACAAAGCUCUCCAGGGGCUGGAGGUUUUACGGUGGGAACUUCUAUUACUUUUCACAAGAAAGGAAGUCGUGGGACGAGGCCGAGCAGUUCUGUGUGUCUCAGGACUCACACCUGACCUCUGUCUCCUCCCAGGCAG